GUAGGGUGCGAGCGUUAAUCGGAAUUACUGGGCGUAAAGCGUGCGCAGGCGGUUUUGUAAGUCAGAUGUGAAAUCCCCGGGCUUAACCUGGGAACUGCGUUUGAAACUACAAGGCUAGAGUGUGGCAGAGGGGGGUGGAAUUCCACGUGUAGCAGUGAAAUGCGUAGAGAUGUGGAGGAACACCGAUGGCGAAGGCAGCCCCCUGGGUUAACACUGACGCUCAGGCACGAAAGCGUGGGGAGCAAACAGGAUUAGAUACCCUGGUAGUCCACGCCCUAAACGAUGUCAACUAGUUGUCGGGUCUUAACGGGCUUGGUAACGCAGCUAACGCGUGAAGUUGACCGCCUGGGGAGUACGGUCGCAAGAUUA
Molecule: ribosomal RNA, 369 nt
Filed under: uncultured bacterium
Lineage: Bacteria
Description: bacterial SSU rRNA
Rfam family: Bacterial small subunit ribosomal RNA
Source: RNAcentral